Molecule: ribosomal RNA, 322 nt
Filed under: uncultured bacterium
Lineage: Bacteria
Description: bacterial SSU rRNA
Rfam family: Bacterial small subunit ribosomal RNA
Source: RNAcentral
AAUCAACGCUGGCGGCGUGCCUCAGACAUGCAAGUCGAACGCGAAAGUUCCCUUCGGGGAAUAAGUAGAGUGGCGCACGGGUGAGUAACACGUAGGUAAUCUACCUUCGGGUGGGAAUAACCCAGGGAAACUUGGGCUAACACCGCAUGAUGCAGCGGCACCACAUGGUGACAGUUGUUAAAGCGGGGGAGUUUUCGGUACCUCGCGCCUGAAGAGGAGCCUGCGGCGGAUUAGCUAGNGGUUGAGGUAACGGCUCACCAAGGUCACGAUCCGUAGCCGGCCUGAGAGGGCGGUCGGCCACACUGACACUGACAUACGGGUC